Pelobates cultripes (western spadefoot toad) is the source of this 856-nucleotide non-coding RNA. The record is from the annotation of a GenBank genome assembly. NCBI's taxonomy places the organism in Eukaryota, Metazoa, Chordata, Amphibia, Anura, Pelobatidae.
GAAGAAAGUGGUCAGUCAGAAACUCCACAUACUUUGCAGAGGUCAUCUUUACACCUUCGGGAUUCCAGCCCAAAACAUGACUCCACCAUCGGCUUGCUGACGUCGCAGCCUUGUUGGAACAGGGUGGCCGUCCACCAACCAUCCACUACUCCAUCCAUCUGGACCAUCCAGGGUUGUACGGCACUGGAUGGUCCAGAUGACUGGACUGUCUGAAAAUUAGUCUUCAUGUAUUUUUCUGCCCAAUGCAGCAGUUUCUGCUUGUGAGCAUUGGUUAGUGGUGGCCGAAUCGAAGGUUUAUGCACAGUUGCAAGACUCUGGAGGACUCUACACCUUGAUGUCUGUGGGACUCCAGAGGCACCAGCAGCUUCAAAUAUCUGUUUGCUGCUAUGUAAUGGUAUUUAGGCAGCUGCUCUCUUGAUCCGAUGCAUGGAUCUGGCAGAAAUCUUCCUCAAUGUGCCUUUAUCUGCACGAACCUCUCUGUGAUCUGAAUCAGCCACAAAUCUCUUAAUAGUGCGAUGAUAACGCUUAAGUUUUCGUGAAAUAUCUAAUGUUUUCAUACCACGUCCAAGGCAUUGAACUAUUUCACUCUUUUUGGCAGCAGAGAGAUCCUUUUUCUUCCCCAUAUUGCAUGAAAAUGGUGCUCUGUUUAAUAAUGUGGAACACCCUCCUUUAGUAGUUUUUCUUUAAAUUGGGCUCACCUGGCAAUCUAAUUAUCACAGGUGUCCGAGAUUGUUUUCAGUGAUCAAAAGAGCCCUGAGACACAAUGCCAUCCAUGAGUUAAACUGAAAAACAAAAUAUUUAAUCUUUGUGACACAAAUAGAAUUUGCAUAAUAAUUUGGAACAGGGUGUAGUGUGU